AGUGAGGAAGGUGGGUAUGUUAAUAGCAUACUCAUUUGACGUUAGCUGCAGAAGAAGCACCGGCUAACUCCGUGCCAGCAGCCGCGGUAAUACGGAGGGUGCGAGCGUUAAUCGGAAUUACUGGGCGUAAAGCGCAUGCAGGUGGUUUGUUAAGUCAGAUGUGAAAGCCCGGGGCUCAACCUCGGAAUUGCAUUUGAAACUGGCAAACUAGAGUACUGUAGAGGGGGUAGAAUUUCAGGUGUAGCGGUGAAAAUGCGUAGAGAUCUGAAGGAAUACCGGUGGCGAAGGCGGCCCCCUGGACAGAUACUGACACUCAGAUGCGAAAGCGUGGGGAGCAAACAGGAUUAGAACCCUCGGUAG
RNAcentral lists this ribosomal RNA (360 nucleotides) under uncultured bacterium. Its description in RNAcentral is "bacterial SSU rRNA". It matches the Rfam family "Bacterial small subunit ribosomal RNA", at positions 441 to 793 of the family's 1533-position model. The record is from RNAcentral.